RNAcentral lists this non-coding RNA (30 nucleotides) under Mus musculus (house mouse). The record is from RNAcentral. Lineage: Eukaryota; Metazoa; Chordata; Mammalia; Rodentia; Muridae.
CCAACAAGUUCUUUCAGAGUUGGCCUCUGU